UUCCGGUUGAUCCCGCCGGAGGCCAUUGCUAUCGGAGUCCGAUUUAGCCAUGCUAGUCGUGCGAGUUCAGACUCGCGGCACCGAGCUCAGUAACACGUGGCCAAACUACCCUACAGAGACGGAUACCCUCGGGAAACUGAGGUUAACCCGUCAUAUCGAUCUCAGGCUUGAAUCGCAGAGAUCACAAAAUGCCCCGGCGCUGUAGGAUGUGGCUGCGGUUGAUUAGGUAGACGGUGGGGUAACGGCCCACCGUGCCCAUAAUCAGUACAGGUUGUGAGAGCAAGAACCUGGAGACGGAAUCUGAGACAAGAUUCCGGGCCCUACGGGGCGCAGCAGGCGCGAAACCUUUACACUGCACGCACGUGCGAUAAGGGGACUCCGAGUGCGAGGGCAUAUCGUCCUCGCUUUCGUGUACCGUAGGGUGGUACACCAACAAGGGCUGGGCAAGACCGGUGCCAGCCGCCGCGGUAAUACCGGCAGCCCGAGUGAUGGCCGAUCUUAUUGGGCCUAAAGCGUCCGUAGCUGGCUGCGCAAGUCCGUCGGGAAAUCCACUCGCCCAACGAGUGGGCGUCCGACGGAAACUGCACAGCUUGGGACCGGAAGGCUCGAAGGGUACGUUCGGGGUAGGAGUGAAAUCCCAUAAUCCCGCACGGACCACCGAUGGCGAAAGCACUUCGAGAAAACGGAUCCGACAGUGAGGGACGAAAGCCAGGGUCUCCAACCGGAUUAGAUACCCGGGUAGUCCUGGCCGUAAACAAUGUUCGCUAGGUAUGACACAGACUAC
Molecule: ribosomal RNA, 784 nt
Filed under: uncultured archaeon
Lineage: Archaea
Description: bacterial SSU rRNA
Rfam family: Archaeal small subunit ribosomal RNA
Source: RNAcentral